Molecule: RNA transcript, 1122 nt
Organism: Folsomia candida
Lineage: Eukaryota; Metazoa; Arthropoda; Collembola; Entomobryomorpha; Isotomidae
Exons: 4
Source: RefSeq, a predicted model, not a curated record
UUUAAUUCCUCAUGUUAGUAAUUAACUAAUAAUUAAGAGAAUUUUAUAGUGAGUAAGUUAAUUUAUUUGGUAGUAAAUUAAUCUCGAAUUAACCACAGAUAAUUCCAUCCUAUUAGUAAUUGAAAAUUCUACAGAUGUGAAGAUGGAGCACGAAGAAGUCCAACUUGUCGAGGAAACAGACCUCCCCGAGGUCAAAGUUGAGCUGGACGAACUCUCCUUCGACUAUUGUACCGUCUACUCCCCCGAAGUUCUCGAGAUGACGGACCCCUUAAGUGACGUCGCCCACGAUCCUCCCACCUCCACUCCGUCAACGUCAACGUCAACGUGGCUCAAAAUUACGGCGACACGAAGCAUCGCCCCCACCCACGAUCCCUCAAGGUCACAAACUUGACACAUCUGCGGAAAGCAGUUCCACCUCGUCGCCCACCUCAACAAACACCUCAAACGUCACGACGAAUCCAAGCGGCCUGUCUGUGACCAGUGCGGCGAGAAGUUUGUCGACACCAAGAGUUUGACCUCCCAACAGAUCAGGGAACACGGCGCUGAUCCCUUCAUUUGCGAGGAGUGUGGCGCACGCCUGCUGACUCUACCAGGCUUAAAGUCUCACAUGAUGUCACACGCAGGGGAUACGACUCAUCCUAAGCCUCAUAAAUGUAAUGUGAGUUACCGAAUCUGGAUUACUGUCUACAGAACCUCAAAAUUGUUCCCCCCUUGCAGGUAUGUCCGGCUAGUUUUAGCAACAAACGAUCCAUGCAAGAUCAUGUAAGGACCCACGCUAACGAGCGCCCCUUCCCGUGCCCCCACUGCGACCACGCCUUCAAGCAGAGGAAGGAGUUGACCCGUCACAUCAACCGGAUCCACACGCCCGGCUACGUCGCCCCGAUCCGUUCCCCCUGCCCCCACUGCGAUAAGGGCUACACGACCAAUUCCUUCCUACAGGGCCACAUCCGGCAAGUUCACACGGGGGAGAGACCCUUCCUCUGUGACCAGGCCGGUUGUGGGAAAGGCUUUGCUAAAAAUUCGCUGCUUACCUCACAUUUGAAAACGGCGCAUAAAAUUAUAAUCCGGCGGGUAGGCGGGUUCAAACUGCCAAGAUCUAAGAGGAUUGAGAUUCUGGCUAAA